CCUACGGGGUGCAGCAGUGAGGAAUAUUGGUCAAUGGCCGGAAGGCUGAACCAGCCAAGCCGCGUGAAGGACGAAGGUGCCAAGCAUUGUAAACUUCUUUUGUCAAGGGACAAAAUCAGGCUCGAGAGCCUGACCGAGGGUACUUGAAGAAAAAGCAUCGGCUAACUCCGUGCCAGCAGCCGCGGUAAUACGGAGGAUGCGAGCGUUAUCCGGAUUUAUUGGGUUUAAAGGGUGCGUAGGCGGGCUGUUAAGUCAGCGGUAAAAGCCCGGGGCUCAACCCCGGCGAGCCGUUGAAACUGGCUGUCUUGAGAUGUCGAGAGGUAUGCGGAAUGCGCAGUGUAGCGGUGAAAUGCUUAGAUAGUGCGCAGAACACCAGUGGCGAAGGCGGCUUACUGGACUGUAACUGACGUUGAGGCUCGAAAGCGUGGGGAGCAAACAGGAUUAGAUACCCCGGUAGUC
RNAcentral lists this ribosomal RNA (459 nucleotides) under uncultured bacterium. RNAcentral describes it as "partial 16S ribosomal RNA". It matches the Rfam family "Bacterial small subunit ribosomal RNA", at positions 338 to 795 of the family's 1533-position model. The record is from RNAcentral.